UACAGAGGCCUCGAGCGUUAGGCGGAAUCACUGGGCUUAAAGCGUGUGUAGGCGGACUUCUAAGUACCUUGUGAAACUCCCACGGCUCACCCGUGGAACUGCUUGGUAUACUGGUUGUCUUGAGCCUUCUAGGGGCGAGUGGAACAAAUGGUGGAGCGGUGAAAUGCGUAGAUAUCAUUUGGAACGCCAAUGGUGAAAACAACUCGCUGGGGAAGUGCUGACGCUGAGACACGAAAGCCAGGGGAGCGAACGGG
RNAcentral lists this ribosomal RNA (254 nucleotides) under uncultured bacterium. Its description in RNAcentral is "partial 16S ribosomal RNA". It matches the Rfam family "Bacterial small subunit ribosomal RNA", at positions 524 to 776 of the family's 1533-position model. The record is from RNAcentral.